Molecule: long non-coding RNA, 220 nt
Filed under: Panax ginseng (ginseng)
Lineage: Eukaryota; Viridiplantae; Streptophyta; Magnoliopsida; Apiales; Araliaceae
Description: long non-coding RNA (PGIN_LNC003629)
Source: RNAcentral
UCAAAAAGUCAAGGCCUGACCUGGUCUGGUCAACGGCUAAGGCCUGGCAGGCUUAGGCCGGACUAGGCCAUGCCAGCCUGUUGUGCAUCACUAGGAGCGAGGAAUGUGGGAAGAGUUUUCAAGAACUUAAGAGGAGAUUCAUUUCAGCACCUGUUUUGACUAUACCAUCUGGUUUGGAGGGAUUUGUCAUCUACAGUGAUGCUUCAGGCAAAGGUUUAGG